AAGAUUUUAAUUGAAUGCUAAAAGAAUGGAAAUUUAAAAAAAAACUUUUUUAAAAAUAAAAAUUGAAUUUUUUUUAAUUUGUGCAAAAACAAUUAUUAUUAUUAAAGACAAGAAGACCCUAAGAAUUUAUGAUUUUGCAAUUAGAAUUUUUUUUCAAAAAAUCUUGAUUGGGGCGAUCAAAAAAUAUUAAUAACUUUUUAAAUUUAAAUUGAUCUAUUAUUAAUAAACUAAUGAAUUAAAUACUCUAGGGAUAACAGCGUAAUAAUUUUUGAUAGAUCUUAUUGACAAAAUAGUUUGCGACCUCGAUGUUGGAUUAGGAUCCUUUUUUAAUGAAAAAGUUAAAAAAAGAAGUUUGUUCAACUUUUAAAUUCCUACUU
Molecule: ribosomal RNA, 377 nt
Filed under: Hyalomma anatolicum
Lineage: Eukaryota; Metazoa; Arthropoda; Arachnida; Ixodida; Ixodidae
Description: partial large subunit ribosomal RNA
Source: RNAcentral